Aedes albopictus (Asian tiger mosquito) is the source of this 73-nucleotide non-coding RNA. The record is from Rfam. Lineage: Eukaryota; Metazoa; Arthropoda; Insecta; Diptera; Culicidae.
UAUUAUGUGGCUUAGUUAAUUGAAGCGCUGGACUAGCGAUACGGAGUCGUGGGUCCGAAUCCCACCAAAACAA